GUUGGUUAAAAUCCUUCCUUUACUA
This 25-nucleotide transfer RNA is filed under the name Cubanichthys pengelleyi. RNAcentral describes it as "partial tRNA-Met". RNAcentral also lists the same sequence under 2 other names. Lineage: Eukaryota; Metazoa; Chordata; Actinopteri; Cyprinodontiformes; Cyprinodontidae. The record is from RNAcentral.